GAUGAAGAACGUAGCGAAAUGCGAUAAGUAAUGUGAAUUGCAGAAUUCAGUGAAUCAUCGAAUCUUUGAACGCACAUUGCGCCCGCCAGUAUUCUGGCGGGCAUGCCUGUCCGAGCGUCAUUUCAACCCUCAAGCCCCCGGGCUUGGUGUUGGAGAUCGGCGAGCCCCCGGGGCGCGCCGUCUCCCAAAUAUAGUGGCGGUCCCGCUGUAGCUUCCUCUGCGUAGUAGCACACCUCGCACUGGGAAACAGCGUGGCCACGCCGUAAAACCCCCCACUUCUGAAAGGUUGACCUCGGAUCAGGUAGGAAUACCCGCUGAACUUAAGCAUAUCAAUAAGCGGAGGA
RNAcentral lists this unclassified non-coding RNA (344 nucleotides) under soil metagenome. RNAcentral describes it as "partial contains 5.8S ribosomal RNA, internal transcribed spacer 2, and large subunit ribosomal RNA". The stretch from base 1 to 120 matches the Rfam family "5.8S ribosomal RNA", at positions 35 to 154 of the family's 154-position model. The record is from RNAcentral.